RNAcentral lists this ribosomal RNA (851 nucleotides) under uncultured bacterium. RNAcentral describes it as "bacterial SSU rRNA". It matches the Rfam family "Bacterial small subunit ribosomal RNA", at positions 52 to 899 of the family's 1533-position model. The record is from RNAcentral.
UAUCUGCAGUCGAGGGGCAGCGCAGUGUAGCAAUACAUGGGGCGGCGACCGGCAAACGGGUGCGGAACACGUACGCAACCUUCCUUCAAGCGGGGGAUAGCUUUCGGAAACGAAAAUUAAUACCCCAUAGUAAUAUCUGAGGGCAUCUGAGGAUAUUUAAAGAUUUAUCACUUGAAGAUGGGCGUGCGCCUGAUUAGGUAGUUGGCGGGGUAACGGCCCACCAAGCCUACGAUCAGUAACUGGUGUGAGAGCACGACCAGUCACACGGGCACUGAGACACGGGCCCGACUCCUACGGGAGGCAGCAGUAAGGAAUAUUGGUCAAUGGACGCAAGUCUGAACCAGCCAUGCCGCGUGGAGGAUGAAGGUCCUCUGGAUUGUAAACUUCUUUUAUCGGAGAAGAAACCCCUGAAUUCUUUUAGGGUUGACGGUACCCGAUGAAUAAGCACCGGCUAACUCCGUGCCAGCAGCCGCGGUAAUACGGAGGGUGCAAGCGUUAUCCGGAUUCACUGGGUUUAAAGGGAGCGUAGGUGGGCUGGUAAGUCAGUGGUGAAAUCUCCGGGCUUAACUCGGAAACUGCCGUUGAUACUAUCAGUCUUGAAUGUUGUGGAGGUAAGCGGAAUAUGUCAUGUAGCGGUGAAAUGCUUAGAUAUGACAUAGAACACCGAUAGCGAAGGCAGCUUGCUACACAAUUAUUGACACUGAGGCUCGAAAGCGUGGGGAUCAAACAGGAUUAGAUACCCUGGUAGUCCACGCCCUAAACGAUGGAUACUCGACAUACGCGAUACACAGUGUGUGUCUGAGCGAAAGCAUUAAGUAUCCCACCUGGGAAGUACGACCGCAAGGUUGAAA